This is a non-coding RNA of Bradyrhizobium sp., 105 nucleotides long. Lineage: Bacteria; Pseudomonadati; Pseudomonadota; Alphaproteobacteria; Hyphomicrobiales; Nitrobacteraceae. The record is from Rfam.
CGCGACGAUGCGGGAGAGAUCGCAACGAAGGCUUCCAGCCUUCCUUGCGGCGCCGACGGAGCAACCGCCCCGGAAACUCUCAGGCAAAAGGACUGUAUCGUCAGG